Molecule: ribosomal RNA, 253 nt
Filed under: uncultured bacterium
Lineage: Bacteria
Description: partial 16S ribosomal RNA
Rfam family: Bacterial small subunit ribosomal RNA
Source: RNAcentral
UACGUAGGUGGCAAGCGUUGUCCGGAUUUAUUGGGCGUAAAGCGCGCGCAGGCGGUUUCUUAAGUCUGAUGUGAAAGCCCUCGGCUUAACCGAGGAGGGUCAUUGGAGACUGGGAGACUUGAGUGCAGAAGAGGAAAGUGGAAUUCCAAGUGUAGCGGUGAAAUGCGUAGAGAUUUGGAGGAACACCAGUGGCGAAGGCGACUUUCUGGUCUGUAACUGACGCUGAGGCGCGAAAGCGUGGGGAGCAAACAGG